Long non-coding RNA from Corticium candelabrum, 719 nucleotides. RefSeq lists it as uncharacterized. The transcript is spliced from 4 exons. The record is from RefSeq and is a predicted model, not a curated record. Lineage: Eukaryota; Metazoa; Porifera; Homoscleromorpha; Homosclerophorida; Plakinidae.
CCUUUUUACUAGUGGAGUCGCAGACGCGAUCGGCUUGUGCAGACGUAAUCAUGGAUUCGUUGUGAGCAUAGAGCUGGUUUGACACGUAUGGCGUUGAAUUCGUUGUUGAGAAGUUACUUGAAGCACUGCUUAGCAUCUGUCUUCGGCAAAAACCCGACGAAACAGCCACGAACUCGGAAGAAACUUUGAUCUUGAUCCAGUGCUUUCCAAUUGCCACAUUCCACCCAAUAUCAAAUGGUCGUUCAAAUGGUUGAGAAGAUUGAAUGUGCCGGCCUGGUAUCUUUGUAGUAACUCUGUUCUCUAACAACUUAGUCAUUUCUGCUGUUCAUGAGUCAUCUCAUCUGAUUGUGAGUGCUGAACUUUUCUUGGUGGCUCAAGAGUGGCAUCACCUAUAUCUUUAAGGCCGAAGUGGUCAUUGAGACGUGUGAGGAUAUCUUGAGGCAGAACAAAGUCAUCUACAGAAGAUGCGGAAUAAUUGGACUGUAGCCUGUGUAAAACCGGAACAGAACGUAUUUGAUUAGAUGAUUAGGUGGUACUUCCAGCACUGACUGGUUGUUGAUCUUAUGACUGACCAUUGUGAACAGAAACGAUGGAAUCCAGUGGAUCAGACAACGUGAGUUGCAGAAGCCUGGCGUACUUCUAGAGCCAUGUAUAGAUAGAAGUAAAGAACUCAGCUGGAAAAAGCGUGUGAUCCGUAUGUUAUAUGAUAAGUUUCUGUU